UGACCUUUGUGAGGCUCAUGAUAAUGUCCAGGAUGAACAACAUGUUCUCUUUCAUUGCACACAUCCCCAGGUGGUCUCUCUCCGCAGGAAAUAUGCUCCCUUGUUCUCACAGGCAGGAUCUCAUGAUGUGUCCGCUUUUUUAAACCAGAACAACACUUCCAUUUUUCCUUCAUGAAUUAAUCGCCUUUUAUGUGCAGGCUAGCAGUUGCAAUUCUUGACUGAAGGCCUUAUCCUUGUAAACCUUGUAAACCUUGU
RNAcentral lists this long non-coding RNA (255 nucleotides) under Dunaliella salina. Its description in RNAcentral is "long non-coding RNA (DSAL_LNC000361)". Lineage: Eukaryota; Viridiplantae; Chlorophyta; Chlorophyceae; Chlamydomonadales; Dunaliellaceae. The record is from RNAcentral.